AUCGGCACUAUAUGGGAACAGCAGCUUCCGCAUCGCGUGCGCGAUCUGGCAGCCUUUAUCGACACCGACGCCUCCAAUCACAGCACGCUUGAAGAUCAACUCGCAUUCGCCACCAAGAUUGCCCCGAAGCUGACCAUUCAGGGCGGAACGACAGAAGUGCUGCGCGGGAUCAUCGCGCGUGGACUUGGGUUGCGCUAAACCAACAAUAAGAGAGAGGUUUCUCAAUGAGCGGCUUUACCGACAU
Molecule: unclassified non-coding RNA, 244 nt
Filed under: Hevea brasiliensis (rubber tree)
Lineage: Eukaryota; Viridiplantae; Streptophyta; Magnoliopsida; Malpighiales; Euphorbiaceae
Source: RNAcentral